GACGAACGCUGGCGGCGUGCUUAACACAUGCAAGUCGAACGAAAGGACGGGAAGAGCUUGCUCUUUCCGGAAUUGAGUGGCAAACGGGUGAGUAACACGUAAACAACCUGCCUUCAGGAUGGGGACAACAGACGGAAACGACUGCUAAUACCGAAUAAGUUCCAAGAGCCGCAUGGCCCAUGGAAGAAAAGGUGGCCUCUACCUGUAAGCUAUCGCCUGAAGAGGGGUUUGCGUCUGAUUAGCUGGUUGGAGGGGUAACGGGCCCACCAAGGCGACGAUCAGUAGCCGGUCUGAGAGGAUGAACGGCCACACUGGAACUGAGACACGGUCCAGACUCCUACGGGAGGCAGCAGUGGGGAAUAUUGGUCAAUGGGCGAGAGCCUGAACCAGCCAAGUCGCGUGGAGGAAGACGGCCCUACGGGUUGUAAACUCCUUUACCUGGGAAUAACGGGCGCUACGCGUA
Molecule: ribosomal RNA, 463 nt
Filed under: uncultured bacterium
Lineage: Bacteria
Description: bacterial SSU rRNA
Rfam family: Bacterial small subunit ribosomal RNA
Source: RNAcentral